GGCUCGAGGACGACGCUGGCGGCGUGCUUAACACAUGCAAGUCGAACGAGACGAUUUAGAAGCUUUGCUUUUUAUUGAGUCGAGUGGCGGACGGGUGAGUAAUGCGUGAGCAACCUGCCUUUCAGAGGGGGACAACAGUUGGAAACGACUGCUAAUACCGCAUGAUAUAUUCGGAUCGCAUGGUCUGGAUAUCAAAGAUUUAUCGCUGAAAGAUGGGCUCACGUCUGAUUAGUUAGUUGGUGAGGUAACGGCUCACCAAGACUGCGAUCAGUAGCCGGACUGAGAGGUUGAACGGCCACAUUGGGACUGAGAUACGGCCCAGACUCCUACGGGAGGCAGCAGUGGGGAAUAUUGGGCAAUGGGCGAAAGCCUGACCCAGCAACGCCGCGUGAAGGAAGAAGGUCUUCGGAUUGUAAACUUCUUUUAUCAGGGACGAAGGAAGUGACGGUACCUGAUGAAUAAGCCACGGCUAACUACGUG
Molecule: ribosomal RNA, 480 nt
Filed under: uncultured bacterium
Lineage: Bacteria
Description: bacterial SSU rRNA
Rfam family: Bacterial small subunit ribosomal RNA
Source: RNAcentral